Molecule: non-coding RNA, 68 nt
Organism: Podarcis lilfordi (Lilford's wall lizard)
Lineage: Eukaryota; Metazoa; Chordata; Lepidosauria; Squamata; Lacertidae
Source: the annotation of a GenBank genome assembly
GCAGACUCAGUUGGUAGAGCGUGGGACUCUUAAUCUCAGGGUUGUGGGUAAGUGCCCCAUGUUGGGCA